RNAcentral lists this ribosomal RNA (325 nucleotides) under Pseudo-nitzschia fraudulenta. RNAcentral describes it as "LSU rRNA". It matches the Rfam family "Eukaryotic large subunit ribosomal RNA", at positions 207 to 544 of the family's 3401-position model. Lineage: Eukaryota; Bacillariophyta; Bacillariophyceae; Bacillariales; Bacillariaceae. The record is from RNAcentral.
AGAGGGUGAAACUCCCGUCCGCAUGGUAGAAUGAGUCUUUGUCAACGAGUCGAGUUGUUUGGGAUUGCAGCUCUAAUUUGGUGGUAAAUUCCAUCUAAAGCUAAAUAUUGGUGGGAGACCGAUAACGUACAAGUACCGUGAGGGAAAGAUGCAAAGAACUUUGAAAAGAGAGUUAAAGAGUGCCUGAAAUUGCUGAAACGGAAGCGAAGGAAACCAGUGUUUGUUGGUUCAUAUUUCCCUGGCCACUUGUGGUUUGGGCGCUGUGAGCUUGCGUGGGCUUGGGUUGGUUGAUCCCUCUGGAAGAGCGCAGUCAGAGUUGAUGUCU